CUGGAAAGUUUGUGGCUUUGCCCUGCUCCCCACGUGUUUUGUGGAAUUACAAAAUAUAUAUUAAAAAAAUGAGUACUACAUUCUUUGACAAUUAUAUGGCAGCUGAAGAAGUAGGGGCAUUGAGGAAUGCAGGAUACCUCCAAAUUUUUAUAUUAAUAGGUACUGUCAUUUUUGUACUCCUCAAUACUAUAUUUAGAGAUGAAAAAAUAAAAAAAAUUGAGGAUAAAAUAAAACAAAAUGAGGAUAAAAUAAAACAAAAUGAGGAUAAAAUAGAAAAUAUUGAGGAUAAAAUAGAAAAUGUUGAGGAUAAAAUAGAAAAAAAUGAGGAUAAAAUAGAAAAUAUUGAGGAUAAAAUAGAACAUAUUGAGGAUAAAAUAGAAAAAAUUGAGGAUAAAAUAGAAAAACUUGAGGAUAAAAUAGGAAAUAUUGAGAAUAAAAUAGGAAAUAUUGAGGAUAAAAUGGGAAAUAUGGAGGAUAAAAUAGGAAAAAUUGAGGAUAAAAUGCAAGCCCAAUUAGAAGAUCUAAAAAGUUUCUUACAGGAUCAAUUGGCAAACAACCACUCUACCAGAAACAGACCUGUUUCUGAACCUUUGAAUGAGGAAAUUUCCUUCCCUGAAAUAGAGAUGGAAACCACCUUUCCUAUAGCCCAGUUAACAGACUGCUUCUCUCGUGUAGUGCAAAUCUUGUCUGAAUUUAAUCCCCAAAACCCUUCCCCUGCAAUUCCAGCUUCUCAUGUUCCUUCUCCUACAGAAAACCAAAUUCCAAUGCAAGGGAGAUCUUGUCCUCCUAGAGAAACCUGUCCUUGUCAAACUGACCCACAGGUGCAAAAUUCAACUAGAGGCCUGUUUCCUCUAAGAGAAGUACCUGAAAUAGGAUGGAAUGGGGAUGUGGUAACUUUAAGACAUAGGAUACCGUUUACUCUGAAUUUACACGAAAUAUCCCCACAUAUGAACAAGAUCCUUUUCUAGUAACAAAAAAGAUGGGAGACAUAUUUUUUCAGUAUAAUCCAUCUUACAAGGACGUUGAGAACUUAC
RNAcentral lists this long non-coding RNA (1034 nucleotides) under Monodelphis domestica (gray short-tailed opossum). RNAcentral's name for it is "lncRNA (ENSMODG00000047983.1)". The record is from RNAcentral. Lineage: Eukaryota; Metazoa; Chordata; Mammalia; Didelphimorphia; Didelphidae.